AAGUCGUAACAAGGUUUCCGUAGGUGAACCUGCGGAAGGAUCAUUAAAAAAAGGGUCGCAAGACCCGUUUUUAAACACUAUCGCCGCCUAUCAUCUAUGGGUAGGAUAUUCUUGUCUAUGGGUGAGAUGGAGGAGGUAGGGUUUUUUAAAAUCCAAUUAUUAUUAUAAAAUAUAUCGUCUAAUGACGAACCAAAAAAAAUUAUCAAAACUUUCAACAAUGGAUCUCUUGGCUCUC
This 235-nucleotide unclassified non-coding RNA is filed under the name fungal sp. RNAcentral's name for it is "partial internal transcribed spacer region". The stretch from base 1 to 46 matches the Rfam family "Eukaryotic small subunit ribosomal RNA", at positions 1786 to 1831 of the family's 1831-position model. The record is from RNAcentral. Lineage: Eukaryota; Fungi.